RNAcentral lists this ribosomal RNA (254 nucleotides) under uncultured bacterium. RNAcentral describes it as "partial 16S ribosomal RNA". It matches the Rfam family "Bacterial small subunit ribosomal RNA", at positions 524 to 776 of the family's 1533-position model. The record is from RNAcentral.
UACGUAGGGGGGCAAGCGUUGUCCGGAUUUAUUGGGCGUAAAGAGCGUGUAGGCGGCUUUACAGGUCCGUUGUGAAAACUCGAGGCUCAACCUCGAGACGCCGGUGGAAACCGUAAGGCUAGAGUCCGGAAGAGGAGAGUGGAAUUCCUGGUGUAGCGGUGAAAUGCGCAGAUAUCAGGAGGAACACCCGUGGCGAAAGCGGCUCUCUGGGACGGUACUGACGCUGAGGAGCGAAAGCCAGGGGAGCAAACGGG